AAGGAUUGUUAUUGCGCCAGAAACUGACUCCCGACCCUAACCCAGGUUCCGACUCUCGACCCCUGAUCCCAACCUGAGAUUUGAUUGUCAACUCCAACCCAACUCCUGACCUCGACAUCGACCCUGACUCCCAAACUAAACCACGACCUCGAUCGAGAUCCGAUACCGAACCCCGAGAUCUGACUACAGACUCCUGACCUCAACUCGGGACCCAACUACCUGACUCCUACCCCGAUCCAGACCCCAACCCCAAGAUCUCACUACACGCCUUUUCUUCUAGAAUCUAGUCUAGACAAAUAUCUAUAAUUUUAUAUUUUUAGCUAUUUCGAUAGAUGCCACUCCCAAAAAAAAUAAAGAGGAGUCGUUUUUUUUUUAAUUCUCUAUAUAAAUAGUCCUUCCCGCUCACUUGCCAGUUCUCUUCCAACUAGCUCUGUGUAAACAAACGAUCGACAAUUGCCCUUAAUUUCCUUCUGUGUGUAAAGCCCUGAUUUCUCUCUGCUUUCUGGGAAAAUGGAUCCUUCAAUUUCAGGUUCUUCUUCUUUUUCUUCUUCUUCUGAAGUUCUCUUCCAAAGCUCCAUCAUUUCUUGAAAAUCAAUCCUUUGAUUCCAGGUUCUUGAAAGAUUGUGUGAAAUUGGAAUACCAUGAGAACUCUGACAUUCCCAAAGCUCCCUCAUUUCUUGAAAGUUAGUGUGAAAUUGGAUUAUGUUCAACAUUUCGAAAUACCCCAAAAAUGAAAAUAAUGUAACUUUUUAUUUUUAUCUAUUAGUCGAAUCUGAAAUCCAUUCUAUUUGUUGACAGAAGACCAAAAGACUAUAGCUUCAGAUGGUAGUGGUCUUCUCUAUGUGAAGUUUGAGAGGCAUUGUUUG
Molecule: long non-coding RNA, 866 nt
Filed under: Solanum tuberosum (potato)
Lineage: Eukaryota; Viridiplantae; Streptophyta; Magnoliopsida; Solanales; Solanaceae
Description: long non-coding RNA (STUB_LNC007620)
Source: RNAcentral